UUGGAAACAGAUGCUAAUACCGCAUAACAACGUUGUUCGCAUGAACAACGCUUAAAAGAUGGCUUCUCGCUAUCACUUCUGGAUGGACCUGCGGUGCAUUAGCUUGUUGGUGGGGUAACGGCCUACCAAGGCGAUGAUGCAUAGCCGAGUUGAGAGACUGAUCGGCCACAAUGGGACUGAGACACGGCCCAUACUCCUACGGGAGGCAGCAGUAGGGAAUCUUCCACAAUGGGCGCAAGCCUGAUGGAGCAACACCGCGUGAGUGAAGAAGGGUUUCGGCUCGUAAAGCUCUGUUGUUAAAGAAGAACACGUAUGAGAGUAACUGUUCAUACGUUGACGGUAUUUAACCAGAAAGUCACGGCUAACUACGUGCCAGCAGCCGCGGUAAUACGUAGGUGGCAAGCGUUAUCCGGAUUUAUUGGGCGUAAAGAGAGUGCAGGCGGUUUUCUAAGUCUGAUGUGAAAGCCUUCGGCUUAACCGGAGAAGUGCAUCGGAAACUGGAUAACUUGAGUGCAGAAGAGGGUAGUGGAACUCCAUGUGUAGCGGUGGAAUGCGUAGAUAUAUGGAAGAACACCAGUGGCGAAGGCGGCUACCUGGUCUGCAACUGACGCUGAGACUCGAAAGCAUGGGUAG
Molecule: ribosomal RNA, 633 nt
Filed under: Limosilactobacillus fermentum
Lineage: Bacteria; Bacillati; Bacillota; Bacilli; Lactobacillales; Lactobacillaceae
Description: bacterial SSU rRNA
Rfam family: Bacterial small subunit ribosomal RNA
Source: RNAcentral